This 491-nucleotide ribosomal RNA is filed under the name uncultured bacterium. Its description in RNAcentral is "bacterial SSU rRNA". It matches the Rfam family "Bacterial small subunit ribosomal RNA", at positions 1 to 526 of the family's 1533-position model. The record is from RNAcentral.
ACUAGCAGUAAGAGUUUGAUCCUGGCUCAGGACGAACGCUGGCGGCACGCCUAACACAUGCAAGUCGAACGGCCCCUUCGGGGGCAGUGGCGGACGGGUGAGUAACGCGUGGGAACCUGCCCCUUGGUUCGGGACAACCCGGGAAACCCGGGCUAAUACCGGAUGCGCUCCUGGCUUUGGCUGGGAGGAAAGAUUGAUCGCCGAGGGAUGGGCCCGCGUCGGAUUAGGUUGUUGGUGAGGUAACGGCUCACCAAGCCUACGAUCCGUAGCUGGUCUGAGAGGAUGAUCAGCCACACUGGGACUGAGACACGGCCCAGACUCCUACGGGAGGCAGCAGUGGGGAAUCUUGGACAAUGGACGCAAGUCUGAUCCAGCGAUGCCGCGUGAGCGAUGAAGGCCUUAGGGUUGUAAAGCUCUUUCGCCCGCGACGAUGAUGACGGUAGCGGGAGAAGAAGCCCCGGCUAACUCCGUGCCAGCCGCCGCGGUAAUAC